AUACAGAUUAAGAACAAGUUGGCUGUAACCAGUAGAUGGAGCUGUUGUAGAUACAAUGUCAUAACGUGUUGACAAUUGAUACAUGGAAGAAGAAAAAAACACUAAAAAAUCUUACAGCAUUAAUUUACAAGUUAUAACCAUUCAAGUGAUGUAGGUUUGGCAGAUCGAAUGAGUUUAAAUAAUCUCGAAGAUGUAAUAAAGCAAGGAAUCGCAAUAAUUCUAGAACCUCAGGUGAUUUUGUUUUGGAGCUUGACAUCAAAGGUCUGUGAAGAUUCCUCAAACGUUCCACAGACUAAAUAACAGCAAACAAGUUUGGAAUGACAUGAGGGUCAGGCGCAGGUUUCUCAUGACCUGGAACUGGAUCAGUCUCACCUUUUCCUAUGAUCCCAUCAUGACCUCUUGUAGAAACACCUCCAA
Molecule: long non-coding RNA, 417 nt
Organism: Carassius auratus (goldfish)
Lineage: Eukaryota; Metazoa; Chordata; Actinopteri; Cypriniformes; Cyprinidae
Exons: 3
Source: RefSeq, a predicted model, not a curated record